CCAGACUCCUACGGGAGGCAGCAGUGGGGGAUAUUGCACAAUGGGGGGAACCCUGAUGCAGCGACGCCGCGUGGGUGAAGAAGCGCCUCGGCGCGUAAAGCCCUGUCAGCAGGGAAGAAAAUGACGGUACCUGAAGAAGAAGCCCCGGCUAACUACGUGCCAGCAGCCGCGGUAAUACGUAGGGGGCAAGCGUUAUCCGGAUUUACUGGGUGUAAAGGGAGCGUAGACGGCAGUGCAAGUCUGAAGUGAAAGGCGGGGGCCCAGCCCCCGGACUGCUUUGGAAACUGGGCUGCUGGAGUGCAGGAGAGGCAAGUGGAAUUCCUAGUGUAGCGGUGAAAUGCGUAGAUAUUAGGAGGAACACCAGUGGCGAAGGCGGCUUGCUGGACUGUAACUGACGUUGAGGCUCGAAAGCGUGGGGAGCAAACAGGAGUAGAUGC
This 437-nucleotide ribosomal RNA is filed under the name uncultured bacterium. Its description in RNAcentral is "bacterial SSU rRNA". It matches the Rfam family "Bacterial small subunit ribosomal RNA", at positions 331 to 785 of the family's 1533-position model. The record is from RNAcentral.